AGUGGACGCUGGUGGUAGGCCUAACACAUGCAAGUCGAACGGCAGCACAGUAAGAGCUUGCUCUUACGGGUGGCGAGUGGCGGACGGGUGAGGAAUACAUCGGAAUCUACUUUUUCGUGGGGGAUAACGUAGGGAAACUUACGCUAAUACCGCAUACGACCUACGGGUGAAAGCAGGGGAUCUUCGGACCUUGCGCGAUUGAAUGAGCCGAUGCCGGAUUAGCUAGUUGGCGGGGUAAAGGCCCACCAAGGCGACGAUCCGUAGCUGGUCUGAGAGGAUGAUCAGCCACACUGGAACUGAGACACGGUCCAGACUCCUACGGGAGGCAGCAGUGGGGAAUAUUGGACAAUGGGCGCAAGCCUGAUCCAGCCAUACCGCGUGGGUGAAGAAGGCCUUCGGGUUGUAAAGCCCUUUUGUUGGGAAAGAAAAGCAGCAGGUUAAUACCCCGCUGUUCUGACGGUACCCAAAGAAUAAGCACCGGCUAACUUCGUG
This 492-nucleotide ribosomal RNA is filed under the name uncultured bacterium. RNAcentral's name for it is "partial 16S ribosomal RNA". It matches the Rfam family "Bacterial small subunit ribosomal RNA", at positions 29 to 507 of the family's 1533-position model. The record is from RNAcentral.